Molecule: ribosomal RNA, 440 nt
Filed under: uncultured bacterium
Lineage: Bacteria
Description: partial 16S ribosomal RNA
Rfam family: Bacterial small subunit ribosomal RNA
Source: RNAcentral
CCUACGGGAGGCAGCAGUGGGGGAUAUUGCACAAUGGGGGGAACCCUGAUGCAGCGACGCCGCGUGGGUGAAGAAGCGCCUCGGCGCGUAAAGCCCUGUCAGCAGGGAAGAAAAGGACGGUACCUGAAGAAGAAGCCCCGGCUAACGACGUGCCAGCAGCCGCGGGAAUACGUCGGGGGCAAGCGUUCUCCGGAUUUACUGGGUGUAAAGGGGGCGGAGACGGCGAUGCAAGCCAGGAGUGAAAGCCCGGGGCCCAACCCCGGGACUGCUCGUGGAACUGCGUGGCUGGAGUGCAGGAGGGGCAGGCGGAAUUCCUGGUGUAGCGGUGACCUGCGUAGAUAUCCGGAGGAACACCGGUGGCGAAGGCGGCCUGCUGGACUGCAACUGACGUUGCGGCCCGAAAGCGUGGGGAGCACACAGGAUUAGAUACCCGUGUAGUC